RNAcentral lists this transfer RNA (62 nucleotides) under Cordylochernes scorpioides. RNAcentral's name for it is "tRNA-Ser". Lineage: Eukaryota; Metazoa; Arthropoda; Arachnida; Pseudoscorpiones; Chernetidae. The record is from RNAcentral.
UGCAUCGGCCGGGAAUCGAACCGCGUGGCCGGCGAGCAUUCUCGCCAUUGAACUACCGAUGU